CCGCCACUAGCUCAUCAGGAGAGAGCAUCAGCCUUCUAAGCUGACUGUGCGGGGUUCGAGUCCCCGGUGGGCGGUCCA
Molecule: transfer RNA, 78 nt
Filed under: Escherichia coli
Lineage: Bacteria; Pseudomonadati; Pseudomonadota; Gammaproteobacteria; Enterobacterales; Enterobacteriaceae
Description: tRNA-Arg
Rfam family: tRNA
About the family: Transfer RNA (tRNA) molecules are approximately 80 nucleotides in length. Their secondary structure includes four short double-helical elements and three loops (D, anti-codon, and T loops). Further hydrogen bonds mediate the characteristic L-shaped molecular structure. tRNAs have two regions of fundamental functional importance: the anti-codon, which is responsible for specific mRNA codon recognition, and the 3' end, to which the tRNAs corresponding amino acid is attached (by aminoacyl-tRNA synthetases). tRNAs cope with the degeneracy of the genetic code in two manners: having more than one tRNA (with a specific anti-codon) for a particular amino acid; and 'wobble' base-pairing, i.e. permitting non-standard base-pairing at the 3rd anti-codon position.
Source: RNAcentral